CAGCAUCCAUGAGUCCCACAUCUUCGAGCUGCUGGUGGAGGUGACGGACAGCCUCAGCGCGCCACGCCACAGCACCACAGCCACACUGGUCGUGCACGUGACGCCCUGGGCCACUACCACUCCCAGCACCACCACUACGCGCACAACCCUGCAGAAGAAGCCGCUAGUUGUCACCCGCAUCGAGCGGUUCUGGGCACCCUCGCCCUGGUUCGUGGCGGUGCUGACCGUCUCCAUGGUGCUGCUGCUGGUGGCGCUGGCAUGGCUGUCAUGGAAACUCCUGUGCAGGCCUGCUCCAGGCAAGUCAGCGCAGCCACUCCUACAGGACAGGGCCUCGUCAGACUCACAUGUGGCAAAGAACAACGCAGCCCCGGGAGAGCUGGACAAGGAGACAGGCCGCGCCAGCGUCCUCAGCCUGCAGGAGCAGUUUGAUGGCCGUGCCCAGGACCCCA
Molecule: long non-coding RNA, 449 nt
Filed under: Chrysemys picta bellii (western painted turtle)
Lineage: Eukaryota; Metazoa; Chordata; Testudines; Emydidae
Description: lncRNA (ENSCPBG00000002886.1)
Source: RNAcentral